CAGUCGCCGCGGGAAUACGUAGGGUGCGAGCGUUAAUCGGAAUUACUGGGCGUAAAGCGGGCGCAGACGGUUACUUAAGCAGGAUGUGAAAUCCCCGGGCUCAACCUUGGAACUGCGUUCUGAACUGGGUGACUAGAGUGUGUCAGAGGGAGGUAGAAUUCCACGUGUAGCAGUGAAAUGCGUAGAGAUGUGGAGGAAUACCGAUGGCGAAGGCAGCCUCCCGGGAUAACACUGACGCUGAGGCACGAAAGCGUGGGGAGCAAACAGGAUUAGAUACCCGUGUAGUCCCUGUCUCUUAUAC
Molecule: ribosomal RNA, 301 nt
Filed under: uncultured bacterium
Lineage: Bacteria
Description: partial 16S ribosomal RNA
Rfam family: Bacterial small subunit ribosomal RNA
Source: RNAcentral